CACACUGUUUCUUCUAAGAUUUUAUUACAUUACAAUAUAAAUGACAACCUAAGUAGAACUGUCCUGGGAAUGCGAAGGAUAGUGCUUCUACUUAAGAAGGAAGGGUGUGGACAAAUGGUUAAUUAAUGCCAUAGUGUUUUUUACAAACAUGUUAGGCAAAACCCACUCUGAACGGUAACAAUGAUUGUAACUUAAAAAGUUAGAGACUUUCCUGACUGAAUCCGUGGACCGGUCUUCAUCCUUUCUUCAGUCCAGGUCUGCCAUUAUCAUUAUCAUUGUGUUUUUCCCAUAGAAAGAAAGGCUGAAAGAUGACCCAUUACUAGUCACAGCACGUUGCUCUCACUGAUUGGAAAGCAGUCACACAACAACAAGCAUUUAUUCUGUUUACUGAGAUGUAACACCAAGGAACAGCAAUUCACACCUGCGGUGAAGUUGUUAUACUUCCCAUUUCUUUUUUUUUUUUUUUUUUAUAUAUUCUAUUUUUAUCCUUCAUUUUUCCUGUCUCGUUUUGCCUUUUUUUUUUUUCUUUUUUAAUCUUCUCUGCCUCUUGUUCCCCCACUUUUAUGAUGGGUGUCAGUGCCAGUCUUGACACUUACCUUAAACCUGAAAUGAAGGAUAAACGGUCAGUGGUACAUUUUUCAGCUAUUAAAUGGGUAUUGCCCUAGUUGUAAUUGAUGACUUUUCUGUAGGGCAAUCAGCUUAAAUGUCUGGCUAAUAUAUGAAGUAUAUAUAAAAAUGCAUGUAUAUUUAUCUACAUGUAUAUAGCUUAGAUCCAAAUCACAUCAUGGGCUGUGGAAUUUAGAGUUGUGUUAUAUCAUACUAUAUUGUGUUAUAUCAUACUAUAUAUCCUCCAAAAAUAAAGGGUAUGACUGGAGACCAGCAAGGGAAAAUACCAGAAAAUAAUCUGUAUCUGUGAAUCACUGAUUCAUUCACCAAAUCACAGAAUAUUUGAUUUAUUUUUUUUCCCCAGAACAUUUGUACUAGACAAGGUAAAACGUAACUGGAAAACACUGCAGUGUUGUAAUAAUCUUGGCGCACUCCUUAGAAGAAAGAAAAAAAAAAAAGGGUAUGCAGGUUUAAUGAAGAAAAUUGCCCUGGCUACAAUGGGGAUUACCUGUUACAUCAACAGUUAUUUUGGCAGAGCUCAGUGUGGCCAGUGGAUCUUGGAUGCUCCUGAAAUCAUAACAUGUACACGCUGUGUGGUGUGA
This 1208-nucleotide long non-coding RNA is filed under the name Cairina moschata (Muscovy duck). RNAcentral describes it as "domestica (muscovy Duck (domestic type)) lncRNA (ENSCMMG00000001873.1)". The record is from RNAcentral. Lineage: Eukaryota; Metazoa; Chordata; Aves; Anseriformes; Anatidae.